This 920-nucleotide long non-coding RNA is filed under the name Ursus maritimus (polar bear). RNAcentral's name for it is "lncRNA (ENSUMAG00000000911.1)". Lineage: Eukaryota; Metazoa; Chordata; Mammalia; Carnivora; Ursidae. The record is from RNAcentral.
AAUGCGCCACAGCCGAGGCAGCCCACGUGGCUCUAGGCGAAGUGGGGGGAGCAGGGGAGUGCAGAACGCAGGGCUAGGGGAGUGGGGAGGAAGGGCUGAGGGGGAGAGGCUGGUGGGGGUGAGGGGAAGCUCUGAGGCAGGCGUUUCCGGCAGAGCUGAGGAGAAACUUCCAGCAAGGCCGAGUGGGGAGCACUCAGGCUUGCAGCCUCUGAGCUGGUUCCUACAGACAACCAGGAAGGGGACCCAGCCUGAGGUACAAGUGGGCUGGAGCUGUCACACCUGUGCCGGAAGCCUUCCUGAGCUCUAGACCAGCAUCCAGCGCCUUCCACACACCUCCCCCUGGGUGUCCCUCAGGCACUUCAAUUCAGCGAGUUUAAAAGUGAGAGAUCUCCAACCCCUCCCCACAAUUUCCCUCCCCCUCACCCCUGGAACCCCAGCUAGUGACAGUGCCACCUUCUGCCCAGUCCGCCCAGCCCCCCAAGCCGGGCCUGGGAGGCAUCCUUCACUCUGCUCCCCACCCUGUCCCAUAGCCCUCCCGAUCCAACCAUCACCCCAAAAUUCCCUCUCUGGUGUUUUUUUCCCAGAAUCGUAUCGCAGCAGUGUGUCAAGAGACAUCUAGAAUAUCUCCCAGCUACUCAUCCAGCACAAUCUCUACACUGCAGCAAAACCGCCUUUUUAAGAUACAGAUUUAAUCCUGACGCUCUCCAGUUUAAAACCCUUCAACGGGGGCGCCUGGGUGGUGCAGUCGUUAAGCGUCUGCCUUCAGCUCAGGGCGUGAUCCCCGGCGUUAUGGGAUCGAGCCCCACAUCAGGCUCCUCCGCUAUGAGCCUGCUUCUUCCUCUCCCACUCCCCCUGCUUGUGUUCCCUCUCUCACUGGCUGUCUCUCUCUCUGUCAAAUAAAUAAAAUCUUUAAAAAAAAU